Molecule: small RNA, 640 nt
Filed under: human gut metagenome
Source: RNAcentral
UAAUCGGCGGUGCAGUAUCCUAGUCAGAUCUGCCGCUUUUGAAGAAGGGCCUAAAAAUCCUUUAAAGGGCAUAACUGUGAAACCCUUGGUGCCUGCUUCUUACGCCCAGUUUGGGGUGGGUGCUGAGCGGGAAGCGCGGACUCCCGCGCUUGCGGAUGUAGGGCGUUCCACAAUGGCAUGAGGAAGCCGACCCUGCAUCUGUGGAGACCUGUUCUUGUGCAUAGGCGUACUCCCUUGUGGUACUUCGACCUGUGUACGGCUCAGGGUAGAAACCUGUAUUGCGGUGCUACCCGGCCUUUGAGCCGUGAACGCUGUGUGCAGAUGUAGCCUGCCUUGCGUGGGUAUGGCGGAUAGGAGAACACCCAGCCGGGCCCCGGCCAGGGAACGGCUGCUAUUGCUCCUUGAAACCAUGGCUGCAAAAGAGGAUAUGAAGCGGUUUGACUGCAGUGGAAAACACCUAGGCUGUCGUCACUGGGCAGAUAAGGGAUUGCAGUGCGGACUAAGUGGCAAUCGGGUCCCGCGGUUGGUAACGCCGCGGCGGGGCGCUGAAAGGGAAACCACCUGAUCGGCAACGAGAGGCGCGCCCUGGGGAAAUCCUACCCGUACCUAAGCCGUAAGAUUUACUUUAUCGGCUGCCGUC